GUGAGGAAUAUUGGUCAAUGGACGCGAGUCUGAACCAGCCAAGUAGCGUGAAGGAUGACUGCCCUAUGGGUUGUAAACUUCUUUUAUAAGGGAAUAAAGUGAGGGACGUGUCCCUUUUUGUAUGUACCUUAUGAAUAAGGAUCGGCUAACUCCGUGCCAGCAGCCGCGGUAGUACGGAGGAUCCAAGCGUUAUCCGGAUUUAUUGGGUUUAAAGGGAGCGUAGGUUGACAUAUAAGUCAGCUGUGAAAGUUUACGGCUCAACCGUGAAGUUGCAGUUGAUACUGUAUGUCUUGAGUGUACAAGAGGUGGGCGGAAUUCGUGGUGUAGCGGUGAAAUGCUUAGAUAUCACGAAGAACUCCAAUUGCGAAGGCAGCUCACUGGGGUACAACUGACACUGAGGCUCGAAAGUGUGGGUAUCAAACAGGAUUAGAAACCCGGGUAGUCC
RNAcentral lists this ribosomal RNA (445 nucleotides) under uncultured bacterium. RNAcentral's name for it is "partial 16S ribosomal RNA". It matches the Rfam family "Bacterial small subunit ribosomal RNA", at positions 354 to 796 of the family's 1533-position model. The record is from RNAcentral.